This is a long non-coding RNA of Tyto alba (common barn owl), 302 nucleotides long. RefSeq lists it as uncharacterized. NCBI's taxonomy places the organism in Eukaryota, Metazoa, Chordata, Aves, Strigiformes, Tytonidae. The transcript has 3 exons. The record is from RefSeq and is a predicted model, not a curated record.
GCCGGGAGACGGGUCGCUGUUUGAUGCUCAAAAAAACCCUCCGGAGGGUGCGGGGGGGGUUUUGUGCCAACUGGGCUGACUGGUGCAGAUGUGCCCGGCAGCGGAGAUCUCCUCGCCGGGCUGAGGUGACUCCCGUGCGGGAUCGGUUUGCUCCGUCUGCGGCUGCUUCGUUUCAUGGUGGCUUUUCCCAGGAAAUGAAACCCCUCCUGGAUCCGGACGUGCUGGGUUUGUCCGAGCGUCCGGCCCUGAGCACGGCAUGGAUGGUCCCGACAUCUUCCUGGGUCCCUGCGAAGGUGCCCUCU